GGCAGCGUGCCUGAAUGUAAAGGGUCACUAUGAUAAAGUGAAUAUAGAGGUAUAAUAACCCUCUCGCUUCCU
Molecule: transfer RNA, 72 nt
Filed under: Syrmaticus reevesii (Reeves's pheasant)
Lineage: Eukaryota; Metazoa; Chordata; Aves; Galliformes; Phasianidae
Description: tRNA-Ile
Rfam family: tRNA
About the family: Transfer RNA (tRNA) molecules are approximately 80 nucleotides in length. Their secondary structure includes four short double-helical elements and three loops (D, anti-codon, and T loops). Further hydrogen bonds mediate the characteristic L-shaped molecular structure. tRNAs have two regions of fundamental functional importance: the anti-codon, which is responsible for specific mRNA codon recognition, and the 3' end, to which the tRNAs corresponding amino acid is attached (by aminoacyl-tRNA synthetases). tRNAs cope with the degeneracy of the genetic code in two manners: having more than one tRNA (with a specific anti-codon) for a particular amino acid; and 'wobble' base-pairing, i.e. permitting non-standard base-pairing at the 3rd anti-codon position.
Source: RNAcentral